UUUUUCUUUUUUUUUUUUUGAUAUCACCGUUUCCUCGCGUUUGGUUGUGCCCAAAGUUUGGAUCAACUCCUAAAAGUGUCUAGUAUAAUUCUCUUCAUUAUAUUUCUAACUAUUACAAUUUAACUCAACUAAACUUAUAUUCUAAAAAUUUGGGAUCAGCUAUAUGAAUUCUGUUUCUCCACUCUAAACGAUUUUCGGUUAAAUCCUCUGAAAUUUGUAAUGCUUCUAGGUCA
Molecule: unclassified non-coding RNA, 233 nt
Filed under: Hevea brasiliensis (rubber tree)
Lineage: Eukaryota; Viridiplantae; Streptophyta; Magnoliopsida; Malpighiales; Euphorbiaceae
Source: RNAcentral